UACAGGGGGGGCAAGCGUUGUUCGGAAUUACUGGGCGUAAAGGGUUCGUAGGUGGCUCACUAAGUCACACGUGAAAUCCCUCAGCUUAACUGGGGAACUGCGUGUGAAACUGGAGAGCUUGAGGGUAGGAGAGGAAUGCGGAAUUCCAGGUGUAGCGGUGAAAUGCGUAGAUAUCUGGAGGAACACCGGUGGCGAAGGCGGCAUUCUGGACUAUUUCUGACACUGAUGAACGAAAGCCAGGGGAGCAAACGGG
Molecule: ribosomal RNA, 253 nt
Filed under: uncultured bacterium
Lineage: Bacteria
Description: partial 16S ribosomal RNA
Rfam family: Bacterial small subunit ribosomal RNA
Source: RNAcentral